RNAcentral lists this ribosomal RNA (491 nucleotides) under uncultured bacterium. RNAcentral's name for it is "partial 16S ribosomal RNA". It matches the Rfam family "Bacterial small subunit ribosomal RNA", at positions 29 to 507 of the family's 1533-position model. The record is from RNAcentral.
AGUGAACGCUGGCGGUAGGCCUAACACAUGCAAGUCGAACGGCAGCACAGUAAGAGCUUGCUCUUACGGGUGGCGAGUGGCGGACGGGUGAGGAAUACAUCGGAAUCUACUUUUUCGUGGGGGAUAACGUAGGGAAACUUACGCUAAUACCGCAUACGACCUACGGGUGAAAGCAGGGGAUCUUCGGACCUUGCGCGAUCGAAUGAGCCGAUGUCGGAUUAGCUAGUUGGCGGGGUAAGGCCCACCAAGGCGACGAUCCGUAGCUGGUCUGAGAGGAUGAUCAGCCACACUGGAACUGAGACACGGUCCAGACUCCUACGGGAGGCAGCAGUGGGGAAUAUUGGACAAUGGGCGCAAGCCUGAUCCAGCCAUACCGCGUGGGUGAAGAAGGCCUUCGGGUUGUAAAGCCCUUUUGUUGGGAAAGAAAAGCAGCAGGUUAAUACCCCGCUGUUCUGACGGUACCCAAAGAAUAAGCACCGGCUAACUUCGUG